RNAcentral lists this ribosomal RNA (502 nucleotides) under uncultured organism. Its description in RNAcentral is "bacterial SSU rRNA". It matches the Rfam family "Bacterial small subunit ribosomal RNA", at positions 28 to 507 of the family's 1533-position model. The record is from RNAcentral.
GAUGAACGCUGGCGGCGUGCCUAACACAUGCAAGUCGAGCGGCAGCGAGUUUCUCACUGUUUGCUUCUCUUUCUUUGAUAUACAAAGAAGUCUAGAGGAGUGAAGAGUGAGAAAUGUCGGCGAGCGGCGAACGGCUGAGUAACGCGUGGGAAUCUGCCCCAAAGUGAGGAAUAACUGCCCGAAAGGGUAGCUAAUGCCGCAUAUGAUCUUCGGAUUAAAGCAUUUAUGCGCUUUGGGAGGAGCCCGCGUCGGAUUAGAUAGUUGGUGAGGUAAUGGCUCACCAAGUCGACGAUCCGUAGCUGGUCUGAGAGGAUGAUCAGCCAGACUGGAACUGAGACACGGUCCAGACUCCUACGGGAGGCAGCAGUGAGGAAUCUUCCACAAUGGGCGAAAGCCUGAUGGAGCAACGCCGCGUGCAGGAUGAAGGCCUUCGGGUUGUAAACUGCUUUUAUAAGUGAGGAAUAUGACGGUAACUUAUGAAUAAGGAUCGGCUAACUACGUG